Molecule: long non-coding RNA, 322 nt
Filed under: Dunaliella salina
Lineage: Eukaryota; Viridiplantae; Chlorophyta; Chlorophyceae; Chlamydomonadales; Dunaliellaceae
Description: long non-coding RNA (DSAL_LNC000185)
Rfam family: Eukaryotic small subunit ribosomal RNA (bases 199-322)
Source: RNAcentral
UUGGUUUAGAGCUGGGAGAACAUUCAGAAGGGCAUCGAUGCAAUUGGAAAAUCGUGGUGCAUCAACCUUACAGGGUAGGGGGUGGUAUUGACGUAUCCAUUUUGCUUAGAAAGCCUUCUAACAAUUCCUUCACGUAAGUGAACGGAACCUGGCAGGCAGCAUUCUCGCAAGAGGUGCUGCUCGUUAAGGAAAGGCAGUUACCUGGUUGAUCCUGCCAGUAGUCAUAUGCUUGUCUCGAAGAUUAAGCCAUGCAUGUCUAAGUAUAAACUGCUAUACUGUGAAACUGCGAAUGGCCCAUUAAAUCAGUUAUAGUUUAUUUGAU